RNAcentral lists this small RNA (291 nucleotides) under SAR116 cluster alpha proteobacterium HIMB100. Lineage: Bacteria; Pseudomonadati; Pseudomonadota; Alphaproteobacteria; Puniceispirillales (SeqCode). The record is from RNAcentral.
CGUCAUCAAUCUGUUGCGGGCAGAUAAAAUGAAUAUGGCUGUCAAAUCCGCCAGCGGUCAGAAUAUGGCCUUCUGCUGCAAUCGCUUCGGUUGACGGGCCAAUGAUGAUAUUCACGCCAUCUUGUGUGUCCGGGUUUCCGGCUUUGCCAAUCGCGUGGAUCAGUCCAUCUUUCAGGCCGAUAUCAGCUUUAUAGAUGCCGGUGACAUCAACAAUCAGCGCAUUGGUAAUCACCGUAUCCACCGCCCCGCCAUCCCGUGAGACCUGAGACUGGCCCAUACCGUCUCUUAUCA